UGGGUAUAAUAGUGAUCUUAACAUGAAUAUCUAUGAGCAAUAUUUUCAAAUAUGACAUGAAUAUAUGACAAGAAUAAUUUAUGAUUCAUGUUUAUGAAAUAUUCAUGAUUUAUGCAUGCAUGAUUAGUUUAUGAUUUAUUUUAUUAUAUAUUUUAUGAAAUAUUUUAUUUUGUAUUAUCUAUUAUUUUUUAAAUUUAUAUUAUCAUAAAAAUUUAUGCUGGAUCCUGUAAGA
RNAcentral lists this long non-coding RNA (232 nucleotides) under Elaeis guineensis (African oil palm). RNAcentral describes it as "long non-coding RNA (EGUI_LNC062721)". The record is from RNAcentral. Lineage: Eukaryota; Viridiplantae; Streptophyta; Magnoliopsida; Arecales; Arecaceae.